CUCCCAAAAUAAACUACCGCCCUCCCUCUAUUUCAUUUCCUAACUCCUGUCUUUUGGGAUUUUUGAGUUACCAAAAAUGGAUCCCAAUAACUCCAAUCUCUAGCCACCAUGGCAGCCCGAUCUUCAUACCAACUUGAAGCCCACACUUCCCUCUUCACCAUCCACCCAAUCACUGGCCUUAACUCCGGUAGAAAUCGAGUGAAAAUCGCCCAAAAACAGCCUGCCAGCUCACUUAAAAAUGGCCGGUAUCUCCACUUCCGGCGACACCCAGACUAUGCCCAUCAUCCAGGUUGAUCAAGCACCUAAUUCCACUCCUAAUGUUGUAUUUAUAACAUCAAACAAAGCUGAAAAUCCAAAUCCAUAGCAAAUUUCGUCUACAGCAAAACUGGACAGUUCAAACCCAAAUUCCGGCGCCGACGAUGCAAACCAAUUUGGCGGACCACCUCCCCUACCACCGCCUCAUCAUGAGGAAGCUUUUGCACAUAUGGGUCAUAGCAAUUUGGACUCAAUACGGACGAACAGGAAAAUUACAAGGCAAAAUAUGGGACAGCAACAAUGAAUGUUUGCAUAUGGAAAAUGGACAGAUGUGCCUCGUGACAACUGCACUUGAGAAAAAAUGGAUGAACCUGUCAUUUAUUUUGUAUCUUUUUGGAUAAAGAUUAAUGGAUGAAGUUUCUUUAAGCGUUUUUACUUCUUCUUUGCCAAGUGAAUUCAUUGUAUGGGAUUCUAGUUUAGUAAUCCAUUUUAUGUGAUUCACUAAUCA
Olea europaea var. sylvestris is the source of this 763-nucleotide long non-coding RNA. RefSeq lists it as uncharacterized. The record is from RefSeq and is a predicted model, not a curated record. NCBI's taxonomy places the organism in Eukaryota, Viridiplantae, Streptophyta, Magnoliopsida, Lamiales, Oleaceae. The transcript has 2 exons.